RNAcentral lists this ribosomal RNA (513 nucleotides) under uncultured bacterium. RNAcentral describes it as "partial 16S ribosomal RNA". It matches the Rfam family "Bacterial small subunit ribosomal RNA", at positions 28 to 523 of the family's 1533-position model. The record is from RNAcentral.
GAUGAGCGCUGGCGGCGUGCCUAAUACAUGCAAGUCGAACGCACAGCGAAAGGUGCUUGCACCUUUCAAGUGAGUGGCGAACGGGUGAGUAACACGUGGACAACCUGCCUCAAGGCUGGGGAUAACAUUUGGAAACAGAUGCUAAUACCGAAUAAAACUCAGUGUCGCAUGACACAAAGUUAAAAGGCGCUUUGGCGUCACCUAGAGAUGGAUCCGCGGUGCAUUAGUUAGUUGGUGGGGUAAAGGCCUACCAAGACAAUGAUGCAUAGCCGAGUUGGAGGACUGAUCGGCGACAUUGGGACUGAGACACGGCCCAAACUCCUACGGGAGGCUGCAGUAGGGAAUCUUCCACAGUGGGCGAAAGCCUGAUGGAGCAACGCCGCGUGUGUGAUGAAGGCUUUCGGGUCGUAAAGCACUGUUGUAUGGGAAGAACAGCUAGAAUAGGGAAUGAUUUUAGUUUGACGGUACCAUACCAGAAAGGGACGGCUAAAUACGUGCCAGCAGCCGCGGUAA